This 253-nucleotide ribosomal RNA is filed under the name uncultured bacterium. RNAcentral describes it as "partial 16S ribosomal RNA". It matches the Rfam family "Bacterial small subunit ribosomal RNA", at positions 524 to 776 of the family's 1533-position model. The record is from RNAcentral.
UACGAAGGGGGCUAGCGUUGUUCGGAAUUACUGGGCGUAAAGCGCGCGCAGGCGGUCCUUCAAGUCAGAGGUGAAAGCCCAGAGCUCAACUCUGGAACGGCCUUUGAAACUAGAGGACUAGGGUACGGGAGAGGUGAGUGGAAUUCCGAGUGUAGAGGUGAAAUUCGUAGAUAUUCGGAAGAACACCAGUGGCGAAGGCGGCUCACUGGCCCGUUACCGACGCUCAGGCGCGACAGCGUGGGGAGCAAACAGG